AGUGAACGCUGGCGGUAGGCCUAACACAUGCAAGUCGAACGGCAGCACAGUAAGAGCUUGCUCUUACGGGUGGCGAGUGGCGGACGGGUGAGGAAUACAUCGGAAUCUACUUUUUCGUGGGGGAUAACGUAGGGAAACUUACGCUAAUACCGCAUACGACCUACGGGUGAAAGCAGGGGAUCUUCGGACCUUGCGCGAUUGAAUGAGCCGACGUCGGAUUAGCUAGUUGGCGGGGUAAAGGCCCACCAAGGCGACGAUCCGUAGCUGGUCUGAGAGGAUGAUCAGCCACACUGGAACUGAGACACGGUCCAGACUCCGACGGGAGGCAGCAGUGGGGAAUAUUGGACAAUGGGCGCAAGCCUGAUCCAGCCAUACCGCGUGGGUGAAGAAGGCCUUCGGGUUGUAAAGCCCUUUUGUUGGGAAAGAAAAGCAGCAGGUUAAUACCCCGCUGUUCUGACGGUACCCAAAGAAUAAGCACCGGCUAACUUCGUG
Molecule: ribosomal RNA, 492 nt
Filed under: uncultured bacterium
Lineage: Bacteria
Description: partial 16S ribosomal RNA
Rfam family: Bacterial small subunit ribosomal RNA
Source: RNAcentral